This 642-nucleotide ribosomal RNA is filed under the name Bradyrhizobium sp. D221b. RNAcentral's name for it is "bacterial SSU rRNA". It matches the Rfam family "Bacterial small subunit ribosomal RNA", at positions 33 to 719 of the family's 1533-position model. The record is from RNAcentral. Lineage: Bacteria; Pseudomonadati; Pseudomonadota; Alphaproteobacteria; Hyphomicrobiales; Nitrobacteraceae.
ACGCUGGCGGCAGGCUUAACACAUGCANGUCGAGCGGGCGUAGCAAUACGUCAGCGGCAGACGGGUGAGUAACGCGUGGGAACGUACCUUUUGGUUCGGAACAACACAGGGAAACUUGUGCUAAUACCGGAUAAGCCCUUACGGGGAAAGAUUUAUCGCCGAAAGAUCGGCCCGCGUCUGAUUAGCUAGUUGGUAGGGUAAUGGCCUACCAAGGCGACGAUCAGUAGCUGGUCUGAGAGGAUGAUCAGCCACAUUGGGACUGAGACACGGCCCAAACUCCUACGGGAGGCAGCAGUGGGGAAUAUUGGACAAUGGGGGCAACCCUGAUCCAGCCAUGCCGCGUGAGUGAUGAAGGCCCUAGGGUUGUAAAGCUCUUUUGUGCGGGAAGAUAAUGACGGUACCGCAAGAAUAAGCCCCGGCUAACUUCGUGCCAGCAGCCGCGGUAAUACGAAGGGGGCUAGCGUUGCUCGGAAUCACUGGGCGUAAAGGGUGCGUAGGCGGGUUUUUAAGUCAGGGGUGAAAUCCUGGAGCUCAACUCCAGAACUGCCUUUGAUACUGAAGAUCUUGAGUCCGGGAGAGGUGAGUGGAACUGCGAGUGUAGAGGUGAAAUUCGUAGAUAUUCGCAAGAACACCAGUGGCGAA